RNAcentral lists this ribosomal RNA (253 nucleotides) under uncultured bacterium. RNAcentral's name for it is "partial 16S ribosomal RNA". It matches the Rfam family "Bacterial small subunit ribosomal RNA", at positions 524 to 776 of the family's 1533-position model. The record is from RNAcentral.
UACGAAGGGGGCUAGCGUUGCUCGGAAUCACUGGGCGUAAAGCGCGCGUAGGCGGACUCUUAAGUCGGGGGUGAAAGCCCAGGGCUCAACCCUGGAAUUGCCUUCGAUACUGGGAGCCUUGAGUUCGGAAGAGGUUGGUGGAACUGCGAGUGUAGAGGUGAAAUUCGUAGAUAUUCGCAAGAACACCAGUGGCGAAGGCGGCCAACUGGUCCGAUACUGACGCUGAGGCGCGAAAGCGUGGGGAGCAAACAGG